This 1050-nucleotide unclassified non-coding RNA is filed under the name Stegodyphus dumicola. RNAcentral's name for it is "uncharacterized LOC118202840, transcript variant X4". The record is from RNAcentral. Lineage: Eukaryota; Metazoa; Arthropoda; Arachnida; Araneae; Eresidae.
AGACAUCUGUUUACUUUGUCUGUCUGUUGCUGUGUGUUUGAAUGUAAAUUAUUGACUAUACGGUGUUUUAUGUUAGAAAAUGCUGACAUAAAUAUCAACAGUGAAAAUUUGAGAUUUAAUAUUUUGUUGAAAACGAAGAUUUCAGUGCUUACUAAGAUAUAUGUAUAUAUAUGAGUCAUGAUUGAUAUUACAGUAGAUGAUUUUGAUUGUGAAAACGAUGUAAUUAAUUUUUUAGCAUUUUUCUUAAAAUAUAAAUGCAGGUUCUGUUUCAAAAUUAUUACAUGCACACCAUGUACUUGUUUUAUAAAGGAUUUCUUUGCUGAUGCAUUACAAAGUAUACCUGAUGAUUUAAUGACAGCAAAUACUUCAACUCCUAUAAAAAAUAGUAAUAAAUUUGGAAAUUGUUCUGUAAAUAUAUCCUUUAAUGACUGUAAUGUACUUCAGCAAGAUAGUUUUAAAAGUUUGUCAAGUAGCACUGAGAUGAACUCUGCAAAUGCAUACAAAAUUCAGGAAAAUUUUGGAAUCUCAGAAUUUGUUGCAAAAAAGAAUAACUUAAGCAGUAAUUGCACUGAGCUUGAGAAUGAAUCAAAUGAGAAAACUCUUUUAAUUAACAAGAGAUUCAUUCCUGGCUUUACUCCCAAAGCAAAAAAACGUAAAUUUCCAGGGCCUGCUGGUCUCUUAUCAGAAGAGAUCAAGGAAUCUGGGAAACAGGUGUUUGGGACAUCAGAUACUAAUCGUAAUAAUCAAAUGCUUUCAAAUUCUGAAAAAGAAUUAGAGAAUAUUAUCAUCUCAAUUCUCUCCAGAAGAAUUACUGCUUCCUUCAUGGAAAACACUGCAAACAGAAGUUUCUUCGUGCCCUAAUUUAUUAGCCACUGCAAAACAUUACAGCAUUCGAAGAGGUCUUUGUGAAAUGAAAUUAAGGGAUCAGUAGAUGAUGAAGUUGUGAAUACAUACAAAGAACACCUGCAAGCAGGUACUGCUCUAAUAUUGAAAAAUGUCACAUUCUUAUUUAAUGUCUUAAUAUUAAAGAAAUCCAACAUUGUUUCAAUU